This 414-nucleotide ribosomal RNA is filed under the name uncultured microorganism. Its description in RNAcentral is "bacterial SSU rRNA". It matches the Rfam family "Archaeal small subunit ribosomal RNA", at positions 330 to 745 of the family's 1478-position model. The record is from RNAcentral.
GCGCAGCAGUCGCGAAACUUCACAAUGUGCGAAAGCACGAUGAGGGAAUCCCAAGUGCUUGCACGUAAGUGUAAGCUGUUUCUCUGUCUAAAACGCAGAGAGAGUAAGGGCUGGGUAAGACGGGUGCCAGCCGCCGCGGUAAUACCUGCAGCUCGAGUGGUGACCGUUAUUAUUGGGCCUAAAACGUCCGUAGCCGGUUUAAUAAAUGCCUGGGUAAAUCGGACCGCUUAACGGUUCGAAUUCCGGGUAGACUGUUAAACUUGAGACCGGGAGAAGUUAGAGGUACUCCUGGGGUAGAGGUGAAAUUCUGUAAUCCUAGGGGGACCACCAGUGGCGAAGGCGUCUAACUAGAACGGGUCUGACGGUGAGGGACGAAGCCCUGGGGCGCAAACGGGGAUUAGAUACCCGUGUAGU